GAAAACUCGAGGAUGAAGAGAGUAAUCUAUAUGGGGAAAAAUAGAGAGUCGGGGAUGGUGGAAGCCUGGCACAGAACCAAUGGAUGAAGCGCACUUCGGAGAGAUGAAUCUGAACUACAGUAGGAUGAAUCGGGAACUCCCGUUACAAGGUAAAGUGGUCAUUAACCUGAACAAUUAGAGUGGUACCGCGGGCUAGCUCGUCUCUUUA
This 208-nucleotide non-coding RNA is filed under the name Heyndrickxia shackletonii. RNAcentral's name for it is "Bacillus shackletonii T-box sequence". It matches the Rfam family "T-box leader". Rfam says of the family: Uncharged tRNA acts as the effector for transcription antitermination of genes in the T-box leader family. The record is from RNAcentral. Lineage: Bacteria; Bacillati; Bacillota; Bacilli; Caryophanales; Bacillaceae.